ACUACUUAAAUCUUGAAAUUAUAUGGUGUAAGCUGUGGGUAAAACAAAUGGAAAAUUAAUACUAACUCAUAUUUUCAGUAUUCAAUCUACCCAUAACAGAUUAACAACACAACUUGUAAUUUUUGAAACAUAUCAUAGAUUUAACAUUAAUUAACAUAUUUACAAAUAACAUACCUUGAGAGAUAAACAAAUGAAAACCAAUAGCUCACACAACAGUUCCAUUAAAAUUCCGAUAUAAAAACUCAAAGUUUUAAAUACAACUUCAGAUUAAGUAAAUGCUGAAAUAAGUAACUGAAAGUACGAGCUAAAAAAAUAAGCUAGGAAGGCAGGACAUCUGAUAGAAAGAAAGCAUAAUCUUCAUUUCCUCUUCAUUAAAACAGCCCAUGAACUAUUUUCUACAUGCUCAAAUCAAGGAUAAGUACCUGUAAAAGCAAAGUAAAAUGAGAAACAGAGAAUCAGCAAAGCAGGACAGUAUCAGCAUGUUCAACAGCAGAAAUCAACACCAAAGCAACCAAAAAUAGCUCCAAAAUCCAGGAUGAUCGACAACAACUUAAUAUCUCAAACUCAGAACAAGUCAAGCAGCCUAACAGACCUCCAAACCCAACUUUGAUGAACAAUUAUAAACAAUUUCUCACCCAGAUGAAUUAAAAUAGUUUCAAAAGUUGAAAAUGAAUCAGAAUUACAGAAAAAAGUUAAUGAAACAGUAGCUUUUCAUUUAACUCUCAGACGCUAGUUUUUUGUGGAUUUUUCCUCUCUCAUUCUUUCCUUGAAAGGCAAGUUUAAUGUGCCUUUAUUGGCUAGCAAAGUAAGGCAGAUUUUAAGUUCUGAUGUUGCACUUUAGCCCUCCUUCCAAUUUUGGUUUUGCUUAAGAUACCUUAGGCUAAUUUUCAGAAAUUCAAGUAAGUCCC
Molecule: long non-coding RNA, 908 nt
Filed under: Nicotiana benthamiana
Lineage: Eukaryota; Viridiplantae; Streptophyta; Magnoliopsida; Solanales; Solanaceae
Description: long non-coding RNA (NBEN_LNC011229)
Source: RNAcentral